This 911-nucleotide ribosomal RNA is filed under the name uncultured Actinomycetes bacterium. RNAcentral's name for it is "bacterial SSU rRNA". It matches the Rfam family "Bacterial small subunit ribosomal RNA", at positions 1 to 914 of the family's 1533-position model. The record is from RNAcentral. Lineage: Bacteria; Bacillati; Actinomycetota; Actinomycetes.
CCGCGGGAUUAGAGUUUGAUCCUGGCUCAGGACGGACGCUGGCGGCGUGCCUAACACAUGCAAGUCGAACGAGGCUUAUCCGGUAGCAAUACCGGAGACUGCCUAGUGGCGAACGGGUGAGUAGCACGUGAGCAACCUGCCCCGAAGACUGGGAUAACACCGGGAAACCGGUGCUAAUACCAGAUGCCCCCACCGGAUCGCAUGAUCUGGUGAGGAAAUGGAUUCCGCUUCGGGAGGGGCUCGCGGCCUAUCAGCUAGUUGGUGAGGUAACGGCUCACCAAGGCUUCGACGGGUAGCUGGUCUGAGAGGACGAUCAGCCACACUGGGACUGAGACACGGCCCAGACUCCUACGGGAGGCAGCAGUGGGGAAUCUUGCACAAUGGGCGAAAGCCUGAUGCAGCAACGCCGCGUGAGGGACGAAGGCUUUCUGAGUUGUAAACCUCUUUCAGCAGGGACGAUUGUGACGGUACCUGCAGAAGAAGCCCCGGCCAACUACGUGCCAGCAGCCGCGGUAAUACGUAGGGGGCAAGCGUUGUCCGGAUUUAUUGGGCGUAAAGAGCUCGUAGGCGGCUUGGCAAGUCGGAUGUGAAACCUCCAGGCUCAACCUGGAGUCGCCAUUCGAUACUGCUAUGGCUUGAGUUUGGUAGGGGACCACGGAAUUCCUGGUGUAGCGGUGAAAUGCGCAGAUAUCAGGAGGAACACCAGCGGCGAAGGCGGUGGUCUGGGCCAAUACUGACGCUGAGGAGCGAAAGCGUGGGGAGCGAACAGGAUUAGAUACCCUGGUAGUCCACGCCGUAAACGUUGGGCACUAGGUGUGGGGACCUAUCGACGGUUUCUGUGCCGCAGCUAACGCAUUAAGUGCCCCGCCUGGGGAGUACGGCCGCAAGGCUAAAACUCAAAGGGAAUUGAC